Camelus dromedarius (Arabian camel) is the source of this 986-nucleotide long non-coding RNA. RefSeq lists it as uncharacterized. The record is from RefSeq and is a predicted model, not a curated record. The transcript is spliced from 3 exons. Lineage: Eukaryota; Metazoa; Chordata; Mammalia; Artiodactyla; Camelidae.
GACUCAUUAACAGUAUUCCUUUCCCUCUCAAAGGUCAGUUGUCUCACCCGCAGGGACAGCAGAGACACCCGCAUGUACCUGUGAAUCGGGGAUUGGGGGUCCCGGUCCGCCGGGUUCCUCAAGAGUCUGCACCCGGGACAAGAGGGGCAAGUUCGUACUGCGAGGUCUGGGCCCUGGUGGCUUUUCAGGAUGGUUUUCCACAAAAGAAAUCUCGCCUGUUUUGAGUUCUGACUCACGAGUCAGCUCAAACAUGAGUCAGACUCCGGUUUCCUGAGAGCUGGAAUUAUCCGCUCCGCCCACCCUGAUGGGAAGGGCCCGCCGUGCCUGAUUCGCCACCAAGCGGCUCAAAUCUGCAGAAUUUCUUUGCUCUUCAGGGCGAACGAGGCGCGGCUGUGAGUGGGUUUUAGCUGAGAGAGACUGCAGAGUGUUCCACGCUCCUUGAGAGGAGUGUGAGUGUGGAUGUAUGUACGUGCACGUGUGUGUAAUCGCUUUAAUAACCAGGUCUUUAAAAAUAUAAAAUCCAAAGGGCGCGCGGCGGGGUGGGGGUGUGGGUGGGAAGGGACAGACUGAGAUUUCAAAAUUUGUAGAUACUGACAGGCAUAUGCAGAAUAGAUGAACAAGAUUAUACUGUAUAGCACAGGGAAAUAUAUACAAGAUCUUGUGGUAGCUCACAGCGAAAAUAAAUGUGACAAUGAAUAUAUGUAUGUUCAUGUAGAACUGAAAAAUUGUGCUCUACACUGGAAUUUGACACAUUGUAAAAUGACUAUAACUCAAUAAAAAAUGUUAAAAAGUAAAAAUUAAAAAUAUAUAAAAUCCUUUGGUGAGAAGAAGACAUAUAAAUGGCCAAUAGGCACACGUGAAAAUGCUCAGUAUCACCAAUUAUCAGAGAAAUGCAAAGCAAAACUACAAUGAGGUAUCACCUCACACCAGUCAGAAUGGCCACCAUUCAAAAGUCCACAAAAGAUAAACGCUGGAGAGGCUGUGGA